UUGUCGCAGGAGCGGUGGCACC
Molecule: microRNA, 22 nt
Filed under: Manihot esculenta (cassava)
Lineage: Eukaryota; Viridiplantae; Streptophyta; Magnoliopsida; Malpighiales; Euphorbiaceae
Description: mes-miR3627
Source: miRBase by way of RNAcentral